ACGAGUUUGUAGCCUGGCGUCAGGGAUGAACGACUGGCGGCGUGCUAACACAUGCAAGUCGAACGGAGUUACGUAUGAAACCUAGUGUAUUCGUAACUUAGUGUCGGACGGGUGGAGUAACGCGUGGAUACCUGCCUUGCGACUGGGGAGUAACACUUUAGAAAUAGUAGCUAAUACCGCAUAAGACGCACGGAGCCGCAUGGCUCAGUGUGAAAAACUCCGGUGGUGUAAGAUGGAUCCGCGUCUGAUUAGCUGGGUUGGCGGGGUAGGAAGCCCACCAAGGCGACGAUCAGUAGCCGGCCGUGAGAGGGUGAACGGCCACAUUGGGACUGAGACACGGCCCAAACUCCUACGGGAGGCAGCAGUGGGGAAUAUUGCACAAUGGGGGAAACCCUGAUGCAGCAACGCCGCGUGAGUGAAGAAGUCAUUCGUGAUGUAAAGCUCUAUCAGCAGGGAAGAAAAUGACGGUACCUGAGUAAGAAGCCCCGGCUAACUACGUG
RNAcentral lists this ribosomal RNA (500 nucleotides) under uncultured Lachnospiraceae bacterium. RNAcentral describes it as "bacterial SSU rRNA". It matches the Rfam family "Bacterial small subunit ribosomal RNA", at positions 1 to 507 of the family's 1533-position model. The record is from RNAcentral. Lineage: Bacteria; Bacillati; Bacillota; Clostridia; Lachnospirales; Lachnospiraceae.